Molecule: ribosomal RNA, 253 nt
Filed under: uncultured bacterium
Lineage: Bacteria
Description: partial 16S ribosomal RNA
Rfam family: Bacterial small subunit ribosomal RNA
Source: RNAcentral
UACGUAGGUGGCGAGCGUUGUCCGGAUUUACUGGGCGUAAAGGGAGCGUAGGCGGACUUUUAAGUGAGAUGUGAAAUACUCGGGCUCAACUUGAGUGCUGCAUUUCAAACUGGAAGUCUAGAGUGCAGGAGAGGAGAAUGGAAUUCCUAGUGUAGCGGUGAAAUGCGUAGAGAUUAGGAAGAACACCAGUGGCGAAGGCGAUUCUCUGGACUGUAACUGACGCUGAGGCACGAAAGUGUGGGGAGCAAAUAGG